CCUACGGGGGGCAGCAGUGGGGAAUAUUGCACAAUGGGGGAAACCCUGAUGCAGCGACGCCGCGUGAGUGAAGAAGUAUUUCGGUACGUAAAGCUCUAUCAGCAGGGAAGAAAAUGACGGUACCUGACUAAGAAGCCCCGGCUAACUACGUGCCAGCAGCCGCGGGAAUACGUAGGGGGCAAGCGUUAUCCGGAAUUACUGGGGGUAAAGGGAGCGUAGACGGCGAGGUAAGCCUGAAGGGGAAGCCCGCGGCCCAACCGCGGAAGUGCUUUGGAAACUGUUUUGCUGGAGUGUGGGAGGGGUAAGCGGAAUUCCUGGUGUAGCGGUGAAAUGCGUAGAUAUCAGGAAGAACACCGGUGGCGAAGGCGGCUUACUGGACCAUAACUGACGUUGAGGCUCGAAAGCGUGGGGAGCGAACAGGAUUAGAUACCCUGGUAGUC
Molecule: ribosomal RNA, 440 nt
Filed under: uncultured bacterium
Lineage: Bacteria
Description: partial 16S ribosomal RNA
Rfam family: Bacterial small subunit ribosomal RNA
Source: RNAcentral